This 1117-nucleotide ribosomal RNA is filed under the name Gilliamella apicola. Its description in RNAcentral is "bacterial SSU rRNA". It matches the Rfam family "Bacterial small subunit ribosomal RNA", at positions 314 to 1421 of the family's 1533-position model. Lineage: Bacteria; Pseudomonadati; Pseudomonadota; Gammaproteobacteria; Orbales; Orbaceae. The record is from RNAcentral.
UGGAACUGAGACACGGUCCAGACUCCUACGGGAGGCAGCAGUGGGGAAUAUUGCACAAUGGGGGGAACCCUGAUGCAGCCAUGCCGCGUGUAUGAAGAAGGCCUUCGGGUUGUAAAGUACUUUCGGUAAUGAGGAAGGUGGUGUAUCUAAUAGGUGCAUCAAUUGACGUUAAUUACAGAAGAAGCACCGGCUAACUCCGUGCCAGCAGCCGCGGUAAUACGGAGGGUGCGAGCGUUAAUCGGAAUGACUGGGCGUAAAGGGCAUGUAGGCGGAUAAUUAAGUUAGGUGUGAAAGCCCUGGGCUCAACCUAGGAAUUGCACUUAAAACUGGUUAACUAGAGUAUUGUAGAGGAAGGUAGAAUUCCACGUGUAGCGGUGAAAUGCGUAGAGAUGUGGAGGAAUACCGGUGGCGAAGGCGGCCUUCUGGACAGAUACUGACGCUGAGAUGCGAAAGCGUGGGGAGCAAACAGGAUUAGAUACCCUGGUAGUCCACGCUGUAAACGAUGUCGAUUUGGAGUUUGUUGCCUAGAGUGAUGGGCUCCGAAGCUAACGCGAUAAAUCGACCGCCUGGGGAGUACGGCCGCAAGGUUAAAACUCAAAUGAAUUGACGGGGGCCCGCACAAGCGGUGGAGCAUGUGGUUUAAUUCGAUGCAACGCGAAGAACCUUACCUGGUCUUGACAUCCACAGAAUCUUGCAGAGAUGUGAGAGUGCCUUCGGGAACUGUGAGACAGGUGCUGCAUGGCUGUCGUCAGCUCGUGUUGUGAAAUGUUGGGUUAAGUCCCGCAACGAGCGCAACCCUUAUCCUUUGUUGCCAUCGGUUCGGCCGGGAACUCAAAGGAGACUGCCGUUGAUAAAGCGGAGGAAGGUGGGGACGACGUCAAGUCAUCAUGGCCCUUACGACCAGGGCUACACACGUGCUACAAUGGCGUAUACAAAGGGAGGCGACCUCGCGAGAGCAAGCGGACCUCAUAAAGUNCGUCUAAGUCCGGAUUGGAGUCUGCAACUCGACUCCAUGAAGUCGGAAUCGCUAGUAAUCGUGAAUCAGAAUGUCAUCGGUGAAUACGUUCCCGGGCCUUGUACAACAGCCGCCCGUCACACCAUGGGAGUGGGUUGCAAC